CCUACGGGUGGCAGCAGUGAGGAAUAUUGGUCAAUGGCCGGAAGGCUGAACCAGCCAUGCCGCGUGAAGGUCAGUGCCCUAUGGGCGUUAAACUUCUUUUGUGCGGGAGCAAUAAUGGUCACGUGUGGCCAGACGAGAGUACCGUACGAAUAAGCAUCGGCUAACUCCGUGCCAGCAGCCGCGGUAAUAAGGGGGAUGCCAGCGUUUUCCGGAUUUAUUGGGUUUAAAGGGUGCGUAGGCUGUUAGGUUAGUCAUCGGGGAAAUGCCCCCGCACAACGGGGUGAAGUGCCAUUGAUACUGGCUUGCUGGAGUGCGGAUGCCGUGGGAGGAAUGUGUGGUGUAGCGGUGAAAUGCAUAGAGAUCACGCAGAACACCGAUUGCGAAGGCAUCUCGCGAAUCCGCGAUUGACGCUGAUGCACGAAAGCGUGGGUAUCGAACAGGAUUAGAUACCCUUGUAGUC
This 460-nucleotide ribosomal RNA is filed under the name uncultured bacterium. Its description in RNAcentral is "partial 16S ribosomal RNA". It matches the Rfam family "Bacterial small subunit ribosomal RNA", at positions 338 to 795 of the family's 1533-position model. The record is from RNAcentral.